UUCUGUAGCAUUUGCCUGGUGAAGAGUUAGUCUAUAGAGAAGCCUGUGAAAAUCGAUUAUUCCAUUGUUUUGCCUACAAGAGCGAUGGUUUUUACCUUCCAAAUGGCAAAAAGUUAUCGAGAAAAACUGUGCAAAAUGGAUGGAUAUAAAUCGGAUAUAAAUUUAGCUAUGAUGAUCGAGUGAGAGUAGUCAAUGCUGGCGGAAUGAAUUCUAAAAUCGCUACAUAAGUCUAUCAUAAGGCUAAUACACUUUUGGAAAAACCCAAGUCAGAUUAUGAUCUUGGUAAAGCAAAAAAAAAAUAAGAGGAAAAUACAAAGACUUAAUCAAAAAUGAUAAUUUAAUUAAAAUGCAGGAGUUAUUGGUGCAUAAGCUCUUACUCGGACUAGAGUUGGCACACUGUUCCUUUUCAGUGUAGGUAAAACCCACGUUUGUCUGCCAAAGGCUAAUGGCUCUUGCGCAUUAAAAGGUCUCAUAGUUUUUGACCUGAGCUACCCACAUUAAUAUAUUCGCUUAUAUGUGAAAGGUUUGACUUUAGAGCAUGCACAGAAUUGCUUUAAAUUUGCAUAAUUGAUAGUUACAAACCAUAACCAUCUUCUUCUUUUGUUUCAUAUUAUGAUUUUAUUUCUGUAUUCAAUAAAAUUUGGUACUUCAGAGUCUCAUACAAAUCGAUAGCGAGCGUUUACGUUACACGACGAAACUUGUACGAAAGAUACAGUUAAUUGCCUUUCUGAUACAUUUAAAUAUUUUGAAAUAAAAAAAAAAUAAAAAUUUUAAUGAAGCAAUCAAGUGAACUCUUUUGCUAUUUCAAGGCCAAUUGUAAGGUGAAUAUCCUCAUUUGAAUAAUUUUGAA
This is a long non-coding RNA of Ceratitis capitata (Mediterranean fruit fly), 850 nucleotides long. RefSeq lists it as uncharacterized. Lineage: Eukaryota; Metazoa; Arthropoda; Insecta; Diptera; Tephritidae. The transcript is spliced from 2 exons. The record is from RefSeq and is a predicted model, not a curated record.